AUUGAACGCUAGCGGGAUGCUUUACACAUGCAAGUCGAACGGCAGCGCGGACUUCGGUCUGGCGGCGAGUGGCGAACGGGUGAGUAAUGUAUCGGAACGUGCCCAGUAGCGGGGGAUAACUACGCGAAAGCGUAGCUAAUACCGCAUACGCCCUACGGGGGAAAGCAGGGGAUCGUAAGACCUUGCACUAUUGGAGCGGCCGAUAUCGGAUUAGCUAGUUGGUGAGGUAACGGCUCACCAAGGCGACGGUCCGUAGCUGGUUUGAGAGGACGACCAGCCACACUGGGACUGAGACACGGCCCAGACUCCUACGGGAGGCAGCAGUGGGGAAUUUUGGACAAUGGGGGCAACCCUGAUCCAGCCAUCCCGCGUGUGCGAUGAAGGCCUUCGGGUUGUAAAGCACUUUUGGCAGGAAAGAAACGUCGCGGGCUAAUACCCCGUGGAACUGACGGUACCUGCAGAAUAAGCACCGGCUAACUACGUG
Molecule: ribosomal RNA, 484 nt
Filed under: uncultured bacterium
Lineage: Bacteria
Description: partial 16S ribosomal RNA
Rfam family: Bacterial small subunit ribosomal RNA
Source: RNAcentral